AAGACAGCAGCGUCUCGCAACUCCGAGCGGAGGAAUAUCAACAGCGCGUGUUGUGCGUUUGUUUUUAGCGCUUUUUUAAACCACUGACUCGUAAACACGCCAAACUUUGCAUCCCCGAAGGAGGUACAUUCGCUUCUUUUGAUUCUUUUAUACUUGGACUCGGCUCUCCCAAACAAACGGACAUCAACUGAAAGUUUCCCCUCAGGGAUGAGACCUGGUAUGGCCGUUGCUCAUAGCGCAGCAGGAGUACUCUGAAACCAAGGCGAAAGCGGUGAGUAAAAGCAAUCUUUAAAGUGCUAAUUUGCAUGUUCGUUCUGUCUGUCUCGGCCAUAAUUGAUAUGUCCUCUCAAAAAUCACUUCCAUUAUAUAUUCCAUCAACCACAUCCUGAGAGGAGCGUUAAUAAUGAGGAGUCCGGGGACCUCUUAAAGAUUCUUGAUGCAUCAUGAUAGUCGAGAGAGUCCACUUAGUUUCUGACGGCCUCGACGGUUGUGAGGUUUCACGUUAAAGGUAGUUGAAGUCAAGAUAAAUGUAUUGUGGUGCAUAACCCAGCAGGUAAAGGUUUGAAGCAUGUUGUCCAGCUCCCUCCGGCCCUUCAUUGAAGCCCUGAUGAUGGUUUUGUCACCAAGUAAGUGAAAAAUAAGCAUAAGGAAUGCCACCGUCUUUGAGAAUGUGACUGCUGAUUAUGUGGAGGUUGUGGUUACCGUCAUUAGCGAUGUAGACAUUGCCAGACGGGCGGCUAACGUUGCGAAGGGUGAAUGAGAGAAACCUGCAUCUAUUCAAGGCAGAUCAUGCAGAGGGCAAGUUCACAUCAUGUUUGAUAAUUUGAGUAAGAGACUUUUUAAGGGUCCUGAUAUUAGCUAUUAUAGGUACUCAGUUGCUAUAAUCAUUU
Long non-coding RNA from Cyprinus carpio (common carp), 890 nucleotides. The record is from Ensembl. Lineage: Eukaryota; Metazoa; Chordata; Actinopteri; Cypriniformes; Cyprinidae.